GGCGAAGUAGCUCAGCUGGUCAGAGCGCACGACUCAUAAUCGUGAGGUCGAGGGAUCGUGCCCCUCCUUCGCCA
RNAcentral lists this transfer RNA (74 nucleotides) under Bacteroidota bacterium. RNAcentral's name for it is "Bacteroidetes bacterium tRNA-Met". It matches the Rfam family "tRNA". From Rfam's summary of the family: Transfer RNA (tRNA) molecules are approximately 80 nucleotides in length. RNAcentral also lists the same sequence under 1 other name. Lineage: Bacteria; Pseudomonadati; Bacteroidota. The record is from RNAcentral.